Molecule: small RNA, 108 nt
Filed under: bacterium
Lineage: Bacteria
Also listed under: 1 other name
Description: 6S RNA
Rfam family: 6S-Flavo RNA
Source: RNAcentral
ACUCAACACGAAUCUAUUAUGAAGGAUAAGUCUUAGUUGCUAAAGCAUGCCAUCUUAGAAUGGACCCUUGAUCAACUAGUUAGUCCUAUAAAUACCAUAAUGGAGUUU